Molecule: non-coding RNA, 80 nt
Organism: Gemmatimonadetes bacterium 13_2_20CM_70_9
Lineage: Bacteria; Pseudomonadati; Gemmatimonadota
Source: Rfam
CUCUGCUCAGGGCAAACCGCCGGCGACGGCGGGACGCAAAGCCAAGGGGUCUCGCACUGCGAGACAGCCCGGCUGCCGGA